RNAcentral lists this ribosomal RNA (4087 nucleotides) under Triticum aestivum (bread wheat). Its description in RNAcentral is "partial small subunit ribosomal RNA". The record is from RNAcentral. Lineage: Eukaryota; Viridiplantae; Streptophyta; Magnoliopsida; Poales; Poaceae.
UCCCGAUUCCAGUUGCCAAAAGGCGACCGACCCCGGCGACGCUCGAUCCGGUGAGCCUGGAGCGCUCUCCUCGCCGCCGGUGCCAUGGCGCUGGUCGCUGUCGCGGCUGUCUUCUUCCCCUGGCCCCGCCUCUCGCCUCCAGUGUACGCGCGCUCCUCCCCCUCUGUCCCACCCCCUCGCUGCCGACCCCGCCCGCCCCUUCGCCGCCGCCAUGGCCGUCCGCGUGCUCCGUGUCGACAACUACGACUCCCCCGCGCACAGGAGCCCCUUCUCCUUCUCCUAAACGUGCACAAACUCCUCCUAAACAGCGUGCACCGCCUCCGAUCUGUGCUCUCUCUCCUCUCCAUGACGCCGAUUUGUCCUCUUCGGCUUCCUUCCAGCUCCAUGUGCUCCUUCCUCUCCCCACCGCCCCCAAUCCUACCCGGUGCCACACCCAGCCUCGUCCACGUCGAUCUCCUGGCGCUGGCGGCUGCGUUCAAUUUGGAUGGAAUUCAGUGCCAUGUCCGUGCAAAAGAAAUACUCCAACACGAUAGCCAUGGAUGGCGGAUCUGGAUUUCACAAAUUCUUCAGUGCCAUAAAAAGAAAGCCUCCACCGGAUUAGAUCACAAGUUCUGAAGAUGAACAGCUCAAUGUUGCGUCCGCCGACUUCGUCGUCGCCUCCGCCAACUUCGCCUGAAGACCAUCCUCCGUUGUCUUCAUCGAUUUUAACGCAAGAACAUCCGCAAUCGCCUCCGCCGACUUUGCCGGAAGACCAUUAGACGUCGCCUAGACCUACUUCGUCGCAGGUAUCUUUUUUCUUUGUGCAAAAUAUGAUGGAGCUAUGUUCGAUUUACAAAGAUUUACAGCCAGAGUUUACUGAUGGUUAAACUAGCAAUUUGAAUUGGCGUGAGCAAGUAUUUAACGCAAUUGGUCUGUUGGCAUAGGCUCAAGCAAGAAACUCAUCGAUCUGUACUUUCGCCAUCUUGUUUCCUCUGUCAAACUAGCUGCAGCAAUAGUGCUUCUUGCUGUACAAUAUCGGCAUGCCAAUUGAUACAAUAGUUUUGUCAACUGAUUCAUGUUGUAGUGCUUCUUGCUGUACAAUACCACAUCUGGUUUCCACCAAGAAGCUGGAUCAGCGACAUUGGACUCUGGUAAGCUCGUGAAAAUUCUUGCAAUCCAGACUUGGGAGAGUCAAAUUUACAAGUAGCUUUUAUAAUGAUAGCUAACAUCAGCUUACUAUGGUUUAUUUGGUCCAUGUAGAGCUGGCAUGGUACGGCUACACUUCCAAUAGUUUUACUUGCUAACAAAAAUCAAGUAUAACUAAAAGAACAGAUCUUUCUCUUGCUGAAAUAGGUUUGGACGCACGGUGUGGUAUAUAUAUGUUAAGUUUAGCCGUAUGUAAUAAUGCAAUGCUCAUGGUUUAUAGUGCUACAUAUUUGCUUAGUGGGCAGGAAUAACUGGUUAGCCUUCCAUAACUUCUAUUUCUAUUACUGCAGAAUAAUUGUUUUUUACAUGGAGCUGACUGUUAUUUCUUCUUUUUCAUCAGGAUUUAAUACAUCAAGUUAACUGCUAUUCCUUCUUUUGUUCCAGUAGUUAAGGGCGCAUUUCGGAGGGGAGCAUACGUAUUACCUUGAUUGAGUUUAGUUUCGUGUGCUGCAUUACUGUUAUAAUUAAGUUACCAGCAGCAAAGAAAGAGUCAUGUAGGCACUAAAACUGAUAAGGUAGUUUGCUCUUGCAGAUCAGAUGGUUGAUCAUUUUUCCAUACAAGUGCUACUAAACUCUACCAAGUUCUAUAAUGACACAAUAGUAACUUGUCACAUGACAAGUUUACUGAGUAAUGAGUAUGCACAGAAGCUUUGAUUCUUUGUCAUCUAUAGUCUACUUGGAAUAUAACUCACAAGCCCCGGAUCACGGCGUUCCCGUGGAGGAAGAGGGUGGCGGGGUCGAGCUCCUGUGAAUAGAGAGGGAGGCGAGGAUGGGUGCGGCAGGUAGAGCCCCGUCCUCCUUUGUCCUCUCCCAUCGAGCGUCGUAUCAAAGAAGCAGCAGCUCCCAACCUCCAUCCCGUCUCCUCUCCUACAUCGGCUGUGCCACGCCGCACUCGUGGACCAGAGUCGCGGAAGCACAUGGACAGUGCAAUGUCAACCGUUGGAUCUGCAGACAUUAAAGUCGCCGGCAUAAAAAGAGAUCUUGUGGACGUAUAGGAUGAGGUGCAAACCGCAGAGGUAAAAUCUUGCUCAACAUUGCAGAGUUAGGAGUGAAGGUCGUGAUUGCUAUUGUAGCUGGUUUUAUUAUUUGUUGAAAGUUCCUUGGUCCAAUUGUUCUGAGUUCUGAUAACUUAUAGUGGGAUUGUUGUUUCUUUAUUGGAAAAAAAACUCACAAUCUUUAGUUUAGAAGGUUUAACUACGCUUUUCUCGAACAUCGAUGUACAUUUUGAAAGUUGUUUGAUAAGAUCCGCUUUGUUAGUUUGUUACCGUGGUGAUGUCUUUUCUUCACAGGGGUGAUAUAUCAAAUCCUAGAGUUGUAAAUAAGAAGUUAUUUUUACUCUGUUUCAGGAUACUACUCCAAUGCCUAUCCAUUUACAGAUUUACAUGCUUGAACAUUUGCACCAAAAUACAAGAUGCCUAUUUAUCUUGCUUAGUUAUUCACCUAUAUUGAGCCAUAUGAAGUUAUCUUCCUGGAUGUGUAAUAAGCCAUCAAGUUGUUCAAUCAUUAACUGCUGCAAUGCUUGAACUUCCAUGAAGAGCUUUGAAGAUAAAUACUGUGCACCUCUAUUUAAAGUGCUUCUUCUGUGCAUUUCUAUAAGAAAAACUAUACGCAAAUCAUGAAGCACUGGAUGGUAUCAACCAAACUGUUAAUGGCCGCAACCUAAUAAUACUUGCCCUUUCAUAUGGUAGAGAACAAUUGCACAGUAGCUGUUAAGGCUUUGAUAUUUGUGGCACAUUCGAUCCCACCUGAUUCAUUGCUUUUCUUGUGAACAUGUUCUAAGUUUGCUUUAACACAUAAAUUUGUUCUAUUGCCUUGCUAGCAAUAUAGUAGAAAUGAAAUGAGUAUGUACUAAAUAUGUUUUUUCUGCUUUACAAUUAUCAGCGAUCUUCCUGGCUUCAGCAUAAAGGUAAAAUUUAGUGCAUUUGGUAGAUUUCAACUAGCUUGGAAAAGGCAAAACCAUAUGCUUAAGCUUCGGCAUUCAGCAGUACAUAAAUGCAUCCUGUGAUAUUUUCUGUAUUUAUUGCAAAAGGAAAACCUAACCGCAUUUGAGCUUCUGGACCUUGGAGUAAUUACCUAUAUGUCACUGAUGGGAUUAACUGCCUUCCCUGCCCAGUUUGACAUUUUUGUUUCUCAUACAGGGAGCUGUUAAUCAGCGCCAACUGAUGAUAAGGAAUAAGCUCCUGUUUUCUUGUUUGUUUAGUACUUGACCAUACAAAGAACUGCUUUGUAAAUAGCGACAUCGAAUCAAAACGAGCGAAGUAGCAUUCCUGGGAAAAUGGAUAGAUAGGGGUCUCUAACAGAUAUUACCAUGUGUUAUUGCAUCUCAAGAUAGGCAAGUAUCUCUGACAGAUGUUAGCAUAUAUUCUUGCAUCUCGAGAUGAUAUUGGAUAGCUUGCGUGUGCAUAUAUCUCAAGGAUAAUUGAUUUAUGUUAUAUGGCUGCAGUCAUGCUUGCAUUAGCAUCAAUUAAUAUUAUGUGACUGUUCUUUUUGGUUGACCCAUGGUCUCCUUGUGAUAUUAUAGUAAUCCAGACCUAAUUAGGGCACCGGUUCAUGUCUCAUUACACUAUUCACUGCCCACAGUAAUUCAGAGUUGUAGAUAGGGACGGAGCGGUGAGAACUGAUUGUCCUCUACUCCUUUUUGUACGUUUGAUUGAACAGUCGACCUCAAUAUAAUAUCACUUUGAUUAACAUAUUAUGUGAUAAUUUUUUCUCUUGAUUGCAAAAGAAAAAACAAAUGCCCAUUUGGUCUUUUGGGGCCUGCAGUAGAGUUACCUCUAUUCCACUGAUGAUAUUAACUAGCUUUCCUGGCCAGUUUGAUAUUUGGUUUCUCAUACUAGGAGUCGUUAAUAAGCUGCAACUAAUGAGAUGGAACGAUAUUUUUGUGUGUGUAGCACUUAACCAC